Molecule: ribosomal RNA, 447 nt
Filed under: uncultured bacterium
Lineage: Bacteria
Description: partial 16S ribosomal RNA
Rfam family: Bacterial small subunit ribosomal RNA
Source: RNAcentral
AACGAACGCUAUCGGUAUGCUUAACACAUGCAAGUCGGACGGACUAAUUAGGGCUUGCUCCAAUUAGUUAGUGGCAGACGGGUGAGUAACACGUGGGAAUCUGCCCAUCAGUACGGAAUAACUUUUAGAAAUAAAAGCUAAUACCGUAUAUUCUCUACAGAGUAAAGACUUAUCGCUGAUGGAUGAGCCCGCGUCAGAUUAGGUAGUUGGUGAGGUAACGGCUCACCAAGCCGACGAUCUGUAGCUGGUCUGAGAGGAUGAUCAGCCACACUGGGACUGAGACACGGCCCAGAAUCCUACGGGAGGCAGCAGUGGGGAAUAUUGGACAAUGGGCGAAAGCCUGAUCCAGCAAUACCGAGUGAGUGAUAAAGGCCCUAGGGUUGUAAAGCUCUUUUAGCAAGGAAGAUAAUGACGUUACUUGCAGAAAAAGCCCCGGCUAACUCCGUG